AGCUUUAUUCCUUUAGUGCUUUAAGGACAAAUGUUGUUACGCUAUUAAUUUUGUUAACAUGCUAGUGUAAAAUAAAUAAAAUAAAAUUUUUUACUGAAAAAAUAUUAAUUUAAUUUUAAUAUCAUUUAUAGGAUCUAAGAUAUUUUUUUAAAAAAUAUUAUUUUAUUAUAAUCACACCACCAGGUUAGCAUAACUAACGAUAUUAGAGCAUUUGUCCUUAAAGUACCAACGAAAUAAUGAUCAUGGUUCUAUUUUGUCAAAAAUUGAAUCAAUGGCCCCUAUGUGUCAAAGUGUAAAACAUUAAGGUACUUUUUUAUAUUUCCCCCUUUGUUUUCUAGGCAAACACAAAUAUUGU
Molecule: unclassified non-coding RNA, 355 nt
Filed under: Hevea brasiliensis (rubber tree)
Lineage: Eukaryota; Viridiplantae; Streptophyta; Magnoliopsida; Malpighiales; Euphorbiaceae
Source: RNAcentral